RNAcentral lists this ribosomal RNA (240 nucleotides) under Staphylococcus aureus. RNAcentral's name for it is "partial 16S ribosomal RNA". It matches the Rfam family "Bacterial small subunit ribosomal RNA", at positions 1 to 230 of the family's 1533-position model. The record is from RNAcentral. Lineage: Bacteria; Bacillati; Bacillota; Bacilli; Caryophanales; Staphylococcaceae.
UUUAUGGAGAGUUUGAUCCUGGCUCAGGAUGAACGCUGGCGGCGUGCCUAAUACAUGCAAGUCGAGCGAACGGACGAGAAGCUUGCUUCUCUGAUGUUAGCGGCGGACGGGUGAGUAACACGUGGAUAACCUACCUAUAAGACUGGGAUAACUUCGGGAAACCGGAGCUAAUACCGGAUAAUAUUUUGAACCGCAUGAUUCAAAAGUGAAAGACGGUCUUGCUGUCACUUAUAGAUGGAU